UAAGCUGACACACAUAAUUGAGCUCUAAACACUAUAUCUCUCUCAGAAAGUUCUGCAUACUUCCAAAAUCCUUCAAUACUCUUGAGGGGAGAAAGUGGCCCAGCUAUAGGGGUAAGUGGUAUUAUAAUACUCUGCAUCCCUGGAAGCUAUGUGGAAGACUAAGGUUUGGUUCCUGGGUUGACAUGUAUACACCACCC
Tupaia belangeri chinensis (Chinese tree shrew) is the source of this 197-nucleotide long non-coding RNA. RefSeq lists it as uncharacterized. The record is from RefSeq and is a predicted model, not a curated record. NCBI's taxonomy places the organism in Eukaryota, Metazoa, Chordata, Mammalia, Scandentia, Tupaiidae. The transcript has 3 exons.